GGAAGUAGAUGUUAACAAUAAAAGGCAUGCUAGCAUUAGGAUCUGGGGCUUUUGCCUGCGAAUGGCAUCGGCCCCCUGACCCCCACCUUAUUUCCAAGUCUUCUUUUUCCUUAUUCUUCUGUGGCACCGCUCCCUCAGGUCGGUUCGUUGUUGGACUGGUCCUGACAUUUGGCAGCCAAACAGGGUCCUUAGGGCACAAGUAGCUUUUGAGGCUUUUUUUUGACAGUGCCAGAAGACACGGGGAAUUCCAGCUGGGAGAUCAGAGGACACUGGAAGCAUUUGGUAUUCCAUAUAAUUUUCAAGGCCAGGCUUUUACACACUCAUCGUACUCUUAAAAAUAUGCUAUUUAAAUAGAAAGGGGGAGAAAAGUAUGGCAUAUUGAUGACACCAAAAGAGAAAUUAGCCCAAGCUUUAUUUACUUUAAAGUUUUUGGAUUUAAGAUUGGAUCAUACAACACCAGCAGCAACAUUGCAUUUUCAGAACACCAUUCUUAGUGAAAAUUAUACUCCUGGUCAAAUGAUUGCAGAUAAUACUCCAGUAUGGUGGGAAAAUGCUAUAACAAUUGGUGUAAGGGCCUUAGACUUAAGAAAGGACAAGGUUAUGCUCGUCAUUUCAGAUGAUGGACAACACCACUGAGUACCAGGAAGACAUGUCAAAGAAAGGAAAGAAGAGGACAUAGUUCGACAUCAACCCUCCCGGAGAGCCGCCAGUGAUGGGGAAAACAAGACUGAUGAUCAGCAACCACCCCAAACCGGUUCCAAGGACCAACAAAGCCAAACCACCCACUUGGGGUCAACUGAAGAAAUUGACCAUUGAAGGGGAAGAAUUGGUCAAAGAACAGGGACAGCCUUUGACUUCGGCUACCUUGUUCCUGGCUGUAUUAUCUGUGGUAACCACCACAUCUGGCAGCCAAUCACCAAGAAAGUCGAGGGACAGGACAUGGAAGCAACCUAGAUGUCUAUUGGCAGACGAAUGGAUAAGAAAGCUGUGGUACAUAUACACAAUGGAAUAUUACGCAGCUAUUAAAAUGAAUGCAUUUGAGUCAA
This is a long non-coding RNA of Bubalus bubalis (water buffalo), 1046 nucleotides long. RefSeq lists it as uncharacterized. The record is from RefSeq and is a predicted model, not a curated record. The transcript has 2 exons. Lineage: Eukaryota; Metazoa; Chordata; Mammalia; Artiodactyla; Bovidae.